GCCAGGUCGGGUGGGGUAGGCAGCUUCGGAACUGAGUCACUCUCCUCCGGAAAGCGAGGACAGUGCAGGAAGUGGAGUUCCAUGGCCAGCUGCCUCCUUGGGAAGAGUGGGAGGGGAGCAGUGGCUGCGUAAGGGCGUGGUCCUCUCCAGGGAGCCCUGCUGUGGCUCCCAGAGGCCCACUGAGCCCCAGGCCCCCAGGCCCCAGCUGCUUCUCAGGCCCUCCCUGCAGGCUCCCUCCUGACCACCCGCUGUCCCCCAGCACAGCAGGACCCACCACUCCUCAUGCUGGCCGCAGCUCCCACGUCCCCUGUCCCAGAGGCUGGGGCGACCUUGGCUCACAGCCCCGCAGGCCACCCCUGUAGGCAGGAGAACCCUACUCCCUGCUGGCCCUGACCUCUGAGAGGGUCAGAGCUGGGAUCAAAUCACCAGAUCGAGCAGCGAAAUACAUCGGAAGGGUCUGAAAGUCACUUUCACCCAGCCCAACCUUGAGCAACGAUGGCCACGCCGUGUUCCAGAGACAGAGAAGGCUGAGACGGUUGAGCAGUGGCAUGGGAUAGCACUGUAACGCUUUAUUUGAAAAGACAACAACAACUUGCAUUCCAUUUGGUUUUCAUUGGAAGGAAUCGCUGAAUUCCAAGUGUUUCAUCAGGAUGGAAGCCGGUGGUUCCUGAAAGUCUCCCUUGAAGAAGUAAAAGGGCUUGGAAGACCCCACAGCGGGCAGGUGGCCGGCACCUCGGUCCUGGGUGGACGUCAGACCCUCUCUGGCUUCCUCGUCUCCCUCUGCUUUCUGGAUGAGCGGCCUGAAUGGUCACACUGGAAGACCUCUCACCACGCCCGCUGAUCCUGGAGCGGCACCCGGCCCAGGCAGAGUGUGUGCUUUGUCUCCAGGAAGCAAGCAGGACUUCCUGCCAACAGCCCCCAGACCAGGGCCUGCCCAGCCACCCUGGACCCGCAGGCUCUGGGCCCCAGCCAGCACCCUGUCCUGAACAGUGGAGUGUUAUUUGCCCCCCACUCUGCAUCUGGCUCCUGGGCUUGGCGUCAGGCCCAAGAGGGUGGCCCUGGCUGUGGGGCACCAAACCUGCCUUGCUCACCAUCUAUAGCCCUCGGGCACACUAGUGGCUUCCAGCUGUGGCUUCUGUGUGGCCCUGGCCCUUCUAGCACUGGGAUGCAUUGUUCGAGUGGAGGUGCACUCUGAGGCAUGUGUUGCUAGGCAACAUCAUCAUCCUGUGAGCAUCACCGAGUGCUUACACAAAUUAAGAGCACGGUGACCUUGCUAGGUGACCGGGUUUAUGGGAUCACAGUGACACCUGUGGCCCAUCGUUGACGAGCUGUUGCCAUGGAGCACAAGGCGCAGUGCUGGUGAACAUCUGUGCACGUUUCUGUUGGGCAGGUUGUGGGUUAAUAGGCACCAGCCACCGCUCCCACCCCUGCUGAACUGGCUCUCGAUGCUGCUAGCGCCCUCAGGAGCUCUGCACCGUGCUGACAGUCGGGAGUUUUACCUCCUCAUGUUGACCUGUCUCGGGCUGUGUGACCUGGUGGGUCCCACGAUGGCGACUGAGCUGGGCACCUUUCCGUGUGCUCACUGGCACUGGGCAGUGAGGCGUCCCCAGGCUUGCGCCUGCUUUCCAAGGUGUCAUCACCCCUGCUGUGGGCUUGUGGGGCCCAGGUACACUGCACGUGCACCAGUCCUUUGAGCUCUGCUGCUGAGUGUGCGGCAGACACCCGCCUUCUGCUGUGGUCAUCGUUAUGUGAAGUCUCACACAUACCUAACCUCUCCAGGAUAUUGCAGAUUCUCUCGGCACAUCUGUGAGCCGUGAGGCUCACCAGGCUCAUCCUUCCUGGUGUUCUUUAGGUGCUCUCCGCACUCAGCUUUGCAUCUGGGAUCGUUUCCUUUUGCCUACUUGCUUCUCUUUCAGCCUUCCUUUCAGUCUAGAGCUAUCCGAGAUGGGUUCCUCUGUUUUUUUGCUUGUCUGUAAAGUCUUUGUUUCACUUUCAUCUUGAAGGAUACUUUUGCUGGGCUCAGUACAGUAUUCCGGUUGCUGUAUUCAUUUGCUUUGUCCUCUGGCUCCCGCCAGCCGCUUCUGCUGGCUGUUGGCCACCUCUUGCUGUUCCCUGCACGUCUGCGGAUUUGGGGUGAGCUCCACACAUCACUAAGACCCUAAGUAGGUCCAGGGGGCCUGAAGGCAGCAGUCCUGAUCACCAGUCCUGUUGUUUUGUGGAAACUUUACUAAUAUUGGCUUUAUUGUGCAAAAUUCCUCUUUGUAAGUCAUUCUUUGUUCUCUCUUUUUACCAGUUUUGUAACUUCUAAAAAACCCCUCCUUAAAAGGUUCAGAUGUUAAUUCUGAGUCAACUACUCCAGGGAAAGGGGAUAAAGAGUGACAAGCUCGUGUCCCUGGGCCUCCUAACCAGUCAUCUUCAGUGUUUCUGCAACACUUGGUGGGCUUCACGUAACAGGAACAUUUGGUUAGCACUUGCUAACCUGUUUCUUGGUGAAAAAAAUCCAACGUAAGUAGAAAGAAAAUGUUUAUCUAAAGGACUACAGGAUGGACCAGGAGUCAAGGAGGUCAUUUGUGAUCUCGGGAAUGUUCCAACUAAGAGAAAAACCCUCGAGGGUGUACAACUCAGAAGAGUGUGGCGGUGCACACCUGGUAUCUCAGCUACUGGGAAGGCUGAGGCAGGAAGGUGGUAAGUGAGCUCAUCCUGAGCAAUUAGUGAGAUCCUGUCUCAAAAUAAAAAACCAGAAAGGGGUGAGGAGGUGACUCAGUGGCAGAGCAGCCCCGAGUCCAACCCUCAGCACUGCAAAAACAAAACAAAACAAAGAAAAUUCCAAGGUAAGGGCUCUUGAGGGUGACUUGCUACUUCCUUGCCGAGGGUCUGCCCUUUCCAGGCAAUAGGCUGGGAGGCGAUCACAGACCUAGGCUGCAGGAGAUGCCCCAGGGAGACGGAAUUUCCAACGGCAGGUGCCGGCAUGUGGGAAAACAGCUGGGUGAUUCAGCCAACUGGGGGCCUCUCAGCCACUGCCUGCGCUGGCCCUGCUGUUAGGGAGCCGUGGGCCGGAUGGGGCGGAGUGCCCAUGAGAGCCCUCCCAGUGCCUCUGCUGUGCGGAGCAGCUGAGGGACCACAGUACCUGCCGGCACGGCCAUGGUGAGUCAGUGUUCCUUUGGUUUGUCCACAUUUUCUGAAUUUUUAAGCAGUGACUGUGUCUUGAGCUGUUUUGAGCUACAACUCCACACAGCGAAGGCACUGAGUCUCCUCGACAAGGCUGGAAACGCCGUGUGUCCCACCCUGGAGGCCCCGGCCCCUCAUUGUGUGCAGCCUGAGAUGCUCUCGAGUCUUCUGGCCACCAGCCUGGGCCUUGGUCACCUGCCCGGCUGGGGUGCCAUUGCUCCAGGGUCACCCAGGGCCACCUGGCCCAUGUGGACGAAGGCCUUCUGGUACUCAGGUCACCAUUUGCCCCACUGCAAGGGGUGGGAGGGGACAGCGGGUGCCAUCCAGUGAGCACGCGUGUGUGUGUGCGCGCGUGUGCCGGGGCCUGCUUGGGUCCUGUCCUUCUUGUAAGCUGUUUCCUGACAGCAUCGGACAGAGGCUGACACCUGGGCCCAGGGUGACACUCUUGGUGGGAUUCGGGUCACUCUCCAGGGAUCCGGGCCAUCGUCAUGAGUGCGGUGCUGUAAAGCAAGGCCGCCCCGUGGGCUGGCCCUGUCUUGCUUUUGGCUGCUGACUUCCUUGUUUCUCCACCAUAUUGUGAUGCAGCCACGGGCCUGCACCACAGGCUGCACAGCUGCUGCCCAGGCCUGACCAAGCACAGACUUCCAGCCUCCACAGCUGUGAGCUCAGUGAAACCCUUUGGGCUUCCAGCAGGAGAGAGAUCCUCACUCCAGACAGGGCCGAACCUCCGGGUCCUGAGGAAGGUCACAAGGCAGCAGAGAAGUGACCCCAAAUGACGAGUGCAAAGCUCGGUCCUGCAAAUACAGAGGGAUGCACAGCUCAGCACAGUCCUUGUCACGCACGUGUGCAUGUGUAGAGGGAACCCAGGUCUGAGAGGCAGCAGCUUUCCAAGCAUGGGCGGCAGGAUUUGAACCCAGAUCCCCGUGAACCUGAGCCCUCGGUCCCGCUCCUGCCACUGGGUGACUCUGGGUCUGUGGGGUCUGUGGUCACUGGGGGGCUGCCUCGGUGGGCCCCUUUGUGCAGAGGAUGAGGGGCCCCUUAUCAUCCAAACCAGGACACCACGGGGAGGGAGGCAGGGCUCCCCAGGUGAAGCCCCUGCUGUGGCCUCGCGCAGGCACCUGGCGGCCAGUGGCGUCAGCGCUGCGCCCUGUGUUCCGCUAGGAGUCUGCGGGUCCCCUCCGUCCGCGGGUGUGAGCAGGGCCGCGGCCUGGGCUGGGGACCCUCUGCGUGGCUCGCUCACGCGUGGCCCCGGGCCCCUGUCCAGAAGGCUCAGGCGUCCUCAGGGAGCAGCCUGACCAGCCUCACUUCCGCCGCCGGCCUCCUGGGGGCAGCAGAGAGCGAGGUGGCAGCCGGCACGGAGGCGGCUCCGCCUCUGCCCGGGCCCGGAGGCCCUCGGCUCUGCUCGUACACGAGUGCGCGUGCGCGCACCCUUGUGUGGGCGGCCCCCGGCAGACGAAGUGGGGUCCCCAGUCCGCCCCUGAGCAGCCCCCCGCGGCCCCCUCUGGGUUCCGCUUCUCCUGCCUCUCCGCCCAGUCCGAGCCCCGCGUGGUCCUGGGGUCGCUCCCGCGGGCCCUGCUGCUCCAGGUGAGGAAGGGCC
Heterocephalus glaber (naked mole-rat) is the source of this 4765-nucleotide long non-coding RNA. The record is from Ensembl. Lineage: Eukaryota; Metazoa; Chordata; Mammalia; Rodentia; Bathyergidae.